Long non-coding RNA from Clupea harengus (Atlantic herring), 564 nucleotides. RefSeq lists it as uncharacterized. The record is from RefSeq and is a predicted model, not a curated record. The transcript is spliced from 3 exons. NCBI's taxonomy places the organism in Eukaryota, Metazoa, Chordata, Actinopteri, Clupeiformes, Clupeidae.
AAGGAGACGAAGAAGCAGCAGGAGAAGGAACAGCAGAAAGACAAGACGCGAGAGAAAGAGAAAGAGAAAGAAAAAGAACGACAGAAAGACAAGGGCAAAGCCAAGAAAGGCUCCGUGCUCAAGGGCCUAGGAGACAUGUUCAGGUUUGGAAAGCAUCGUAAAGAUGAGCAGUUGGAGAGGCGGGGCUCCAGUAAGUGGCGUCCAGAUGAGACACAGGCGUCGGAGGAGGAGACCCAGCGCAUGAAACUGGAACAGGAGAGGAUCCAAGCUAAGACUCGUGAACUGAGGGAACGACAGGCUCGGGAGCGAGACUACACCGACAUCCUGGACUUCAGCGACACACACACACACACACUGACACGCACACACACUCCACACUCGAGUACGCGCUCCCCGCAGCCUGAUGACGAUCGACCGCUGGACGGCACACACACUCAUAUACAUGCUCACACACACUCUCACACACACACUCACACACACCCCAACAGCCCAGGAGAGGCUUCCAGAACCAACGGCCGUAUCACCUCCACUGACUGGUAGGGGGCGCUAAAGCACCACACAAUA